UUCAGGUCUCUAGAAAUCUAAAGAGCAAAAAAACCUAUUCAGGGAUACAGACGUUGCUUAGUGGUAGAGCACAUUCCUGCAUGUGUGCCAGGCCUGGUUCCAUCCUCAGGACAUGCAGUGAUUCCAACAGGCUUUCAGCCCACUCUCUCUAUAUACAGCUGCCAGAGAUGGCUGUACCCCCACUGCCACCCUGCUGCCUCCACUGGUGGAGAAAAAAAUAAUCAAAACUCUUCUCCCUGGCAUUUGUUUUGUUUUAAGAGUAGGACAGCUUAUUGGAGAAUAGGAAUAGCUCCUGAGAUACCAAUGGAUUACUGAAGAGCUCACUUCUCAGAGAAAGUUUUACAGACCUAACUCACAAGGUGGGUACAAUGUGAGUCAAAACUAUAAUCAACUAACAUGUAUAGCCACUUAGCUAAUUUGAUCCAGUAGUAACAGGACAGGUAGAUGACUUCAUUAACCUUGGGAUAAUCUGUAGUCUUAGUUGUUGUUGUUGUUGUUGUUGUUGUUUUGGGGGGCGCCACGCUGGCCUAGAUUUUGCAUUGGUCCUGCCUCAGCAUGUCAAGUGCUGGAAUUUCAGGUGUGUGCCACCACACCUGGUGGACAUCAUAGUUUUGUUUUUAGUUUUAGCCUUAUUAGUCUUAGUGAGUGGGAGUGGAUGGCCCACCCUAGUAAGAUAAUGGUUCAUUUAUAUGAGAAAUCUCAAAAGGGCGGUACCAAUAAUCUCAAGCUUUUUUAGGGAAGUUUGUAAAUCUGUCCAUUGUGAUUUUAAUCUUCAGGUGUGCCUCCAGCCAGUUGUUAAUGUGUUCUCUUCUUCUGCCUGACUCCAGUGAGGGCCUAGCCCUGUCCCAUUGCCCACAAUACCUAACGCAGCUGUCUGUAAUAGCCCAAAGAGCUAUCCUAACUGUAGUUAGGGGAGAAGGGCUGUAGUUUCCAUCUAGCUGUUGUCAAGGGCCUUCCCCAGAGAGCUAAUCUAAUGGGCCAUGGCUAGGAGUCAUGUUGCAGUUAAGCAGUUACGAAUUCCUUUCACAAGGUCGAUCGAGUAGAUCUCUGUAAAAGCAGUCUGGUACAUUUGUCACUGGUUUUAUCUGUAUAAUUACUUGGAGCUUUUGCAGCCUCUGGGCAAGAAUAAAUGAAUUUUCUGAGAAAUUAGAGCAUGUAUAAUCAAAACACAAGCACUAGAAUGGAAAGGUGGUUGGGGAGAGUCACAUCUCCCUGAAUUUGGAGGCUUUCAAAAUCAUGUCACAGACUCCGUUUUUUAAUCUCAUGUCCUGGAGAUCCGUCCCUGCCGAGACCCUUCCUGGACUAUCCCUGGAACACUGCUGAGCAGCAGUGAGCUCCGGAGCGAGCACAGUGCCCGGGCCACCUCGGGCUGUACCCUUCCUCCAGGUACUUUUGCUCUUUGCAGUUCCUGGCACUCAGGCUCAAUACAGAUGUGAAGCCCCAGUGGGCACCUCACCAGGCACCACGUAGACAAGGCGUCGCACUGGCCAGUUCGAAACCUGCUUUCAGCUGUGACUGGGGCCGAGCUCAAAGCUGCUCACAACUGGAUCCUGUUCAUACUAUCAGCUCAGCUGCUGUAUUCCCAGUCUGAAGAAGGGAUUGAAAGUGUUUUUAUUCACGUGAUACUUUUUAUAAAACAUAAAUUAUUAAAUAUUUAGAAUCACAUGAAAACAAGCUCAUCUUAUGCUUAUGUAAACACACGGAUGCACUGGCUGCAGCAGAGCUUAGACUCAGCUGGUAAAGGGGCUGAGUGGUAGAGCACCUUUUUCACUUUUCUGUUUCAGUUUUCUUUUCUUUAAUUUUUAAUCUAUGCUUGCAGUGUAUAAUGAUUACACUGAUCAUGAGGAUUGGUGCAUGUACAGAACACUUUUUUUAAUUACUGUUUUUUUUUUUCUUUUUGUACCGGGAAUCAAACUCAGGGCUUUGCACUAUUAAUACUAUUCAACCAACCCGCUUUCCUCUUCUUCCCUCUCUCCCUGUCACCCUCCCCCCAUUGCCUAGUCCAUUUCCUUUUGCAAAAGAUCUAUCUCCCUGCUUCUUAUUUUUUAUUUUGCUCUUCAUUUAAAGUUUGGGUUUCUCAUAUAAGAGAAGCCAUGUGAUAUUUUAGCUUGUGUGUCUGAUUAAUUUCCUUAGCAUUAUGUUCUCAAAGUACAUGUUUUCCUAUAGAUGACUCAAGUGUACCCUCUUUAUGACAGAGUAGUACUCUACUUUGUAUAAAUACCACAUCUCCUUUACCCUUCCCAACCUCAUCAAGGUUCAGUGAAGUUGAUAUUUGUAAUCCCAUAGGAAAGUGAUUGGAAUUUCAAUCUACCACUCCCAGUACAGUUUAUGGUGAGAACAAAGAUGCUAAGGCAUAUUUGUAGUUAUGGGGAGCUAAAGGCAUCCUAAGUCCAGCUAGAACUGCCUGGACCAGGGACGAACCUGGGUUUUAUUAAUUCAUAAAGAGUGAAAUAGCUUUGGAAUGAGCGCCUAUGAGAAAGCCUGGAAGCACAUGAAUCGGCGAGCUGGGCUAAGCAGGAGGCCUGAAAUCACCUCUGCAAUCUGCAGAGGGAAGGAUAUGGAAAAAGAGUCAUCUGCAUAUCACAGGUUGGGGCAAUAUCUAGUGUUCUGAGGUCAGCGCUUCAGUUCUGAGAUGAACCCAUGCCCUAAGAAAACAUAGCUUCUUUUCUGGAGGCUGCUUCUCAGGGACACCAUGGUGUCACUCAGCCUAGCUCACACAUGUGACUUGAGAGCUGUAGCGGGGGCAUCACCAACCCAUUGCAUUGCUUCAAAGACAUCAGCACCUGGGCCAGACCAAUUUGCACUGCUGAAAGCCAGCUGAGGGGAUAAGGAAAUGUAGGCACUAGCUCUGUGCCCAUCUAUCUGUGGAGUAGGGCCAAGCGCACUUCUUCAAGGAGAGUCACCAGGUGGUCCUUCACGUAUUUGUCUUUUGAUGGACAUACAGACUGCUUCCAAAAUUUAGCUAUUAUGGCUAUACCAUUAUACAAACUAUUAUAUAAACUUCAGUAUGUAUAUUUCACUGUAAUGUUCUAAAGUCUUUCAGGUAGAUACCUAGAAGGGGAACAGAAUUUCGAGUUUUAGUGUUUUGGGGAAUCUCCAUACUGAUUUCCAUAGUAGUUGUACUAGUUUACUUUCCAAGAAUUCAGUAUUUACCUAGCAUGCAUGAGGACCUGAUUUCUACUUUAAAAAAAUAAGAAAAAGAAAAAAAAGCAUUAGAAUUUCUUAUUCUUAGGAAUCCAUGGAAAAGAGCCAGGUGUGGUGGCACGCAUCUGUAAUCCAGGGACUCGGAAGGCUGGGACAGUAGGAUUGCUGCGAGUUCCACAUCAGCCUGGUCGACAAAGUCAACUGGACACUCUUCAUCAGUGUGCGCCACCCCCGGUGCCAGCUCCAGCCCCUUUCCUAGUUUCUCUUGCUGUCCUUUGUUAAGGACCAGCUUGAUCUUUGUCCAUUUUUCUUUCUUUCUUUCUUUUUUUUUUUUUUUUUUGUCUCCUUUUUUUUAUCGGUACCAGGGAUCGAACUCACAACUGCCGGGUUGCAAGGCAGGCGCUUAUAUGCCACUGAGCUAAAUCCCCAGCCCCAAUUUGUCCACUUUUCAAACUAGAGUUCCUUACCAUUUUCUCUUGCUUUGUUUUGUUUUGUUUCGGUUUCUUUGAAACAGAAUCUCGCUCAAUAGUUCAGCCUGGCCUUAAACUCACUACAUUGCCCAGGUUGGCCUUGAACCUGUGGUAAUCCUCCUGCCUCAGUCUCCUGAGUUCUGGGAUUACAGGCAUGUGCUACCAUGCCCAGUUUGUCAUUUUCUCUUGCUUUCCAACUGAAGUAUUUUUCCUAAAUUCUAUUAUUAUUAUUAUUAUUAUUUUUGGUACCAGGGGUUGAGCUCAUGACCUUGUGUUUGCCAGGCAGGUGCUUAUGUCACUGAGCUAAAUCCUUGGUCCUCCUGCAAAUUCUUGCUUCCGUUUUAAUUUCCAUUAUCAAAGUAAGGACCAGUGCUGGCUGCUGACAGUGUCAUCGGUCUCUUUCUUGGAAGUCAGCCACAUAAUCACUCUCCACCCUCACUGUGUAGGGCUAGCUUCCUCGUGCCAGUCCUAAUGUAUGUGCAAAGGACACGCCAGAUUAGUUUUUCUGCCCAAGAAAGUUGUGUCAUCCUUUCCUUGGGCUCUGAUUGCAAGAACAGAUGAGCUCAAGCAGAUCCUGUUGACCAUUCGGUGCCAAGCUGGGAUAACACAAUGGAAAAGAGUUUCCCAGUAGUGCAUUAAAGUGAGGAUAGCCGGGUGUGGUGGCACAUACCUGUAAUUCCAGCACCUGCAGGCUGAGGCAGGAGGAUCACAGUGAGUCUGAGGCCAGCCAGGGCUACAUAAGUGAGUUCAAGACCAGCUUGAACUGCAUAAUGAGCUUAAAAAAAAAAUUAAAUAAUUAAGGUGAAGAGAGAGGAUUUCAGGGCUGUGCAACUAGAAAGAACCUUGUGUUCAACCUCAGGAUUUAAAUCCAAAACUCAAAUUUGAGCUCUUGCCUGUUAGAUGUCAAUCAAAGCUUAGUUCAGCUUGAGUGGCCAGACACAAGGCCUCAGUGUCCUCUGUGGAUUUAUGGUUAUCUGCCCUCUGUAUCACACUCUGGGAGACGUGCCACAGCGGCAUGGAAGCAGGUGAGACUGCAGAGAGUGAAAAUCAGCCUCGCAGACUCUCAGUUAAGAUCCUCUUGAUGGACUGUUAAAUCCAUUUAAUUUCCUUUGGUGCUGAGCAUUGAACCCAGGGCCUCACACAUGCUAAGCAUGCACUCUAGCUCCAAGCCACACCCUAUUUAAAAAAUAGAAUAAAAUUACUCUGACCUUUUUAGUAGAAAUUUCAGACUGUCACCUAGAGGUAGGGUAAGCAAUGUUUCAUGAAACAUUUUAAAAUAGACACUAUGUAGUCAUUUGCAAUAUCAAAUGUAUUUCUUAUCAUAGUCACAGUAAAAAAAAAGAAAGAUGGGGAAAAAAGGGGUAAAAGUCGGGGGGCAGAGAAAUGCCUUAUGUCUAUAACCCUCUCCAAUUAAUAUUAGGUCUCAGCUGUCAGGGAAUGUCAUGGGAGCUAUUUAAAACUUGCCACCUAGAAACCUGAAGCCAAAACCAAAAGCUGCAAAGGAAAGGGUUAGAAGGUCCCUAGUUCCCUAGCUCCAAGUGCCAGGGAGGCCGAGGCAGGAGAACUACCACAAGUCUGAGGCCAGUCUAGGCUAUAUAAUGAGACCUUGUAUCAAAGAACAAUGAAGAAAUUUGAUAUUGUAAAUAUUUCUAAAUUUUCUGUGCUAAAAGCAUAAAACAGAAUUGAAAGCUUAAAAAGAAAGAUGUUUCAAAAUAUACUGAGUUACAUCUUGUGUUUUGUUUUGUUUGUCUUUUUGAGACAGGGUGUCACUGUGUGGGUCAGGCUGGCCAUGGGCUCACUUUGUAGACCAGGCUGGUCUUGAAUUUGCAAGGAUCCUCCUACCUCAGCAUCAACCCCCCACCACCACCACCACCACACCAAAUGCUAGGAUUACAGGAGUGCACCACCACGCCCAGCUCUUUUUCUUUGCUUUUUUUUUUUGAAUUUUUUUAAAUUUUGAGGCAACCCUGGUUGAUGCGUUUUUGAAAUUUUGUUGUAUUCUUUCUUUUCUCUUCCUCCUCCUUCCUUUUCUUCUCUUUCCUCUUUUCUUUCUUUUUAUCCUUGAAAUAAAAUGGAUUUGGAAAAAAAAAA
Long non-coding RNA from Cavia porcellus (domestic guinea pig), 5705 nucleotides. RefSeq lists it as uncharacterized. The transcript has 2 exons. Lineage: Eukaryota; Metazoa; Chordata; Mammalia; Rodentia; Caviidae. The record is from RefSeq and is a predicted model, not a curated record.